GGGCCCGCACAAGCGGUGGAGCAUGUGGUUUAAUUCGAUGAUACGCGAGGAACCUUACCAGGGCUUAAAUGUAAGUUGCAUAGAUCAGAGAUGGUCUUUUCUUCGGACUACUUACAAGGUGCUGCAUGGUUGUCGUCAGCUCGUGCCGUGAGGUGUCAGGUUAAGUCCUAUAACGAGCGCAACCCCUGUCGUUAGUUACCAGCAAGUAAUGUUGGGUACUCUAGCGAGACUGCCGGUGCAAACCGUGAGGAAGGUGGGGAUGACGUCAAAUCAUCACGGCCCUUACGUCCUGGGCUACACACGUGCUACAAUGGCCGGUACAGAGAGCAGCCACUACGCGAGUAGGAGCGAAUCUUCAAAGCCGGUCUCAGUUCGGAUCGCAGUCUGCAACUCGACUCCUUGAAGUUGGAGUCGCUAGUAAUCG
This 424-nucleotide ribosomal RNA is filed under the name uncultured bacterium. RNAcentral describes it as "bacterial SSU rRNA". It matches the Rfam family "Bacterial small subunit ribosomal RNA", at positions 917 to 1344 of the family's 1533-position model. The record is from RNAcentral.